AAGUCGUAACAAGGUUUCCGUAGGUGAACCUGCGGAAGGAUCAUUAACACGUAUCCACGUAUCAACCAAUGAGAAUUGUUUUCACCUCUCCCUGCACUGAGAAUGAAUUGGAACUUGAUAUAGGCCAUAAAUGGGGCUGCCGCAAGGCGCCAACCUAUAGAAGUCACUUAUUGAAGCGAAAGUUUUAAUAGACAAUUGUAUUUCAGUCCAGGCUCCGUCUCGCUAAUUUGAUCUCCAUUUAUGAUCGUGUUAGCGGGACACUAUAUUAACCUAUUUCACCCUUUUUUGCUAGUUGACUUUUAUAUGUUGUUCUUUGCGCUUGCGUAAGGUGCACACGUUUAAUUAUUUGAACGUUAAAAAUACAACUCUUAGCAAUGGAUAUCUUGGUUCUC
This 392-nucleotide unclassified non-coding RNA is filed under the name fungal sp. Its description in RNAcentral is "partial internal transcribed spacer region". The stretch from base 1 to 46 matches the Rfam family "Eukaryotic small subunit ribosomal RNA", at positions 1786 to 1831 of the family's 1831-position model. The record is from RNAcentral. Lineage: Eukaryota; Fungi.